GAUUCCAGUUGGAGCGAGAGAAGUUUCCAGAGGCUCACUGUGCCAGUCUGACAAGACAGGAAGAAUCCACCCGCUGGUGCUCAGAGGGGCGGUGCUCAGGUGUGAGAUAGACCUGACAGUCUAAAGGCUCUCCCCAUCUCCUGCUCCUUCUCCUUGUAUCUUUCAUAGGUGUUUCCCCCAAUAAAUCUCUUGUAUGUCAA
Non-coding RNA from Leptonychotes weddellii (Weddell seal), 200 nucleotides. NCBI's taxonomy places the organism in Eukaryota, Metazoa, Chordata, Mammalia, Carnivora, Phocidae. The record is from RefSeq and is a predicted model, not a curated record.